UGGGGAAUCUUGGACAAUGGGGGCAACCCUGAUCCAGCGAUGCCGCGUGAGCGAAGAAGGCCUUAGGGUUGUAAAGCUCUUUCGCCCGCGACGAUGAUGACGGUAGCGGGAGAAGAAGCCCCGGCUAACUCCGUGCCAGCAGCCGCGGUAAUACGGAGGGGGCUAGCGUUGUCCGGAAUUACUGGGCGUAAAGCGCGCGUAGGCGGUCCACCAAGUCGGGGGUGAAAGCCCGGGGCUCAACCCCGGAAUGUCCUCCGAGACUGUUGGACUGGAGUUCGGGGGAGGAGAGCGGAAUUCCCAGUGUAGAGGCGAAAUUCGUCGAUAUUGGGAAGAACACCGGUGGCGAAGGCGGCUCUCUGGCCCGCAACUGACGCUGAGGCGCGAAAGCGUGGGGAGCAAACA
Molecule: ribosomal RNA, 402 nt
Filed under: uncultured bacterium
Lineage: Bacteria
Description: bacterial SSU rRNA
Rfam family: Bacterial small subunit ribosomal RNA
Source: RNAcentral